GAUGAACGCUGGCGGCGUGCUUAACACAUGCAAGUCGAACGAUGAAGCCCAGCUUGCUGGGUGGAUUAGUGGCGAACGGGUGAGUAACACGUGAGUAACCUGCCCUUGACUCUGGGAUAAGCGCUGGAAACGGCGUCUAAUACCGGAUACGAGCUUCCACCGCAUGGUGAGUUGCUGGAAAGAAUUUCGGUCAAGGAUGGACUCGCGGCCUAUCGGGUAGUUGGUGAGGUAACGGCUCACCAAGCCGACGACGGGUAGCCGGCCUGAGAGGGUGACCGGCCACACUGGGACUGAGACACGGCCCAGACUCCUACGGGAGGCAGCAGUGGGGAAUAUUGCACAAUGGGCGCAAGCCUGAUGCAGCAACGCCGCGUGAGGGACGAAGGCCUUCGGGUCGUAAACCUCUUUUAGCAGGGAAGAAGCGAAAGUGACGGUACCUGCAGAAAAAGCACCGGCUAACUACGUG
RNAcentral lists this ribosomal RNA (466 nucleotides) under uncultured bacterium. Its description in RNAcentral is "partial 16S ribosomal RNA". It matches the Rfam family "Bacterial small subunit ribosomal RNA", at positions 28 to 507 of the family's 1533-position model. The record is from RNAcentral.